Molecule: non-coding RNA, 45 nt
Organism: Schistosoma mansoni
Lineage: Eukaryota; Metazoa; Platyhelminthes; Trematoda; Strigeidida; Schistosomatidae
Source: Rfam
AUCCAGCUGAUGUAUCCCAAAUAGAAUGAAAUGUGCGUCCUGGAU